RNAcentral lists this ribosomal RNA (495 nucleotides) under uncultured bacterium. Its description in RNAcentral is "partial 16S ribosomal RNA". It matches the Rfam family "Bacterial small subunit ribosomal RNA", at positions 28 to 507 of the family's 1533-position model. The record is from RNAcentral.
GACGAACGCUGGCGGCGUGCCUAAUACAUGCAAGUAGAAUGCUGAAGGAGGAGCUUGCUUCUCUGGAUGAGUUGCGAACGGGUGAGUAACGCGUAGGUAACCUGCCUGGUAGUGGGGGAUAACUAUUGGAAACGAUAGCUAAUACCGCAUAAUAGCAGUUGUUGCAUGAUAACUGUUUGAAAGGUGCAAUUGCACCGCUACCAGAUGGACCUGCGUUGUAUUAGCUAGUUGGUGGGGUAACGGCUCACCAAGGCGACGAUACAUAGCCGACCUGAGAGGGUGAUCGGCCACACUGGGACUGAGACACGGCCCAGACUCCUACGGGAGGCAGCAGUAGGGAAUCUUCGGCAAUGGACGGAAGUCUGACCGAGCAACGCCGCGUGAGUGAAGAAGGUUUUCGGAUCGUAAAGCUCUGUUGUAAGAGAAGAACGAGUGUGAGAGUGGAAAGUUCACACUGUGACGGUAGCUUACCAGAAAGGGACGGCUAACUACGUG